CUGUUGGGUAGGGGAGCGUUGUGUAAGCGGAAGAAGGUUCAUCGAGAGGUGGGCUGGACGUAUCACAAGUGCGAAUGCUGACAUAAGUAACGAUAAAACGGGUGAAAAACCCGUUCGCCGGAAGACCAAGGGUUCCUGUCCAACGUUAAUCGGGGCAGGGUGAGUCGGCUCCUAAGGCGAGGCUGAAAAGCGUAGUCGAUGGGAAACAGGUUAAU
RNAcentral lists this ribosomal RNA (215 nucleotides) under Haemophilus influenzae. RNAcentral's name for it is "partial 23S ribosomal RNA". It matches the Rfam family "Bacterial large subunit ribosomal RNA", at positions 1221 to 1434 of the family's 2925-position model. The record is from RNAcentral. Lineage: Bacteria; Pseudomonadati; Pseudomonadota; Gammaproteobacteria; Pasteurellales; Pasteurellaceae.